CAGCCGCCGCGGUAAUACGUAGGGUGCAAGCGUUAAUCGGAAUUACUGGGCGUAAAGCGUGCGCAGGCGGUUAUAUAAGACAGAUGUGAAAUCCCCGGGCUCAACCUGGGAACUGCAUUUGUGACUGUAUAGCUAGAGUACGGCAGAGGGGGAUGGAAUUCCGCGUGUAUCAGUGAAAUGCGUAGAUAUGCGGAGGAACACCGAUGGCGAAGGCAAUCCCCUGGGCCUGCACUGACGCUCAUGCACGAAAGCGUGGGGAGCAAACAGGAUUAGAGACCCCCGUAGUCCCUGUCUCUUAUAC
RNAcentral lists this ribosomal RNA (301 nucleotides) under uncultured bacterium. Its description in RNAcentral is "partial 16S ribosomal RNA". It matches the Rfam family "Bacterial small subunit ribosomal RNA", at positions 509 to 807 of the family's 1533-position model. The record is from RNAcentral.